UUAGGUUCAGCGGGUAUCCCUACCUGAUCCGAGGUCAACCUUGAUAUAAAAUUCUCCCUGAAGGGGGAGGCAGACCGUGCCCCGUCGACCCGCGUCCAGUACGUGUUCGGUGAGGAACUCAAUGUACCGGGGGUGCAACGAAGCCGCCGUCAUUGUCUUUGGGAGGGGCGAGGGACGUGAGUCCCCCGCCAGCCGCCCAA
Molecule: unclassified non-coding RNA, 200 nt
Filed under: Veronaea sp.
Lineage: Eukaryota; Fungi; Ascomycota; Eurotiomycetes; Chaetothyriales; Herpotrichiellaceae
Description: partial internal transcribed spacer 2
Source: RNAcentral